GAUAGUGUAGCCGAGUGGUCAAUGUCGCAGGUUUUAGGCACCAGUCUCUUCGGAGGCAAUGGUUCAAAUCCCUUCGCUGUCA
Molecule: non-coding RNA, 82 nt
Organism: Daphnia pulex (common water flea)
Lineage: Eukaryota; Metazoa; Arthropoda; Branchiopoda; Diplostraca; Daphniidae
Source: Rfam